AAUCAGUGUCGUCCCGGUCCUGGUUCUAAAGUCCUCAGUCAACCACUGGGACUCAGAUUCUCCCCAGAAGCCAAAGAUGCGGUCAUGGUGCCCCGAACCCUCCUCCUGCUGCUCUCGGGGGCCCUGGCCCUGACCGAGACCUGGGUGGGCUCCCACUCCUUGAGGUAUUUCAGCACCGCUGUCUCCCGGCCCGGCCGCGGGGAGCCCUGGUACCUCGAAGUCGGCUACGUGGACGACACGCAGUUCGUGCGGUUCGACAGCGACGCGGCGAGUCCGAGGAUGGAGCCGCGGGCGCCGUGGAUGGAGCAGGAGGGGCCGGAGUAUUGGGACCGGAACACACGGAACGCCAAGGUCAACGCAGAGACUUUCCGAGGGGACUUGAGGAACCUGCUCCGCUACUACAACCAGAGCGAGGCAGGGUCUCACACCUUCCAGUGGAUGUACGGCUGCGACCUUGGGCCCGACGGGCGCCUCCUCCGCGGGUACCGGCAGUUCGCCUACGACGGCAGGGAUUACAUCGCCCUGAACGAGGACCUGCGCUCCUGGACCGCCGCAGACACGACGGCUCAGAUAACGCAGCGCAAGUGGGAGGCGGCCCGUGCGGCGGAGAAGCUGAGAGCCUACUUGGAGGGCGAGUGCCUGGAGUGGCUCCGUAGAUACCUGGAGAACGGGAAGGAGACGCUGCAGCACGCGGAUCCCCCAAAGACACAUGUGGCCCACCACCCCGUCUCUGACCAUGAGGCCACCCUGAGGUGCUGGGCCCUGGGCUUCUACCCUGCGGAGAUCACACUGACCUGGCAGCGGGAUGGGGAGGAGCAAACUCAGGACACUGAGCUUGUGGAGACCAGGCCAGCAGGGGAUGGAACCUUCCAGAAGUGGGCAGCUGUGGUGGUGCCUUCUGGAGAAGAGCAGAGAUACACGUGCCAUGUGCAGCACAAGGGGCUGCUGGAGCCCCUCACCUUGAGAUGGGAGCCGUCUUCCCAAUCCACCAUCCCCAUCGUGGGCAUCGUUGCUGGCCUGGCUGUCCUAGGAGCUGUGGUUGCUGCUGUGAUGUGGAAGAGGAAGAGCUUAGGACAUUUUGUUCCCACAAGGGGAAAAAGAGGGAGCUACUCUCAGGCUGCAUCCAGCGACAGUGCCCAGGGCUCUGAUGUGUCUCUCAGGGAUUGUAAAGACAUAGGACAGAGUGGUUCUGCAUCUGGGGAACAUCACUGAAGUAAAAUGAGAAUAAUCUCUGACCUUGUGGAGCAUGUGUUCCAGUGGGAAGACGCAGAUGAUAGAUACCUGAUAACCAGAGCAAGGAAGGAAAGUGCUAUAAGGUGGGAUCACCUGGACGUGGUGCUGAGAUCCAGGAAGUCCGGAGUUAAACAAGAGAUUCUUGAUUUAUGACAAGGCUGGAGCUCAUGCUGCUGGUCUCCAGAUCAAGAACACCAGGAUCCCACAUGUCUGAGCAUCAGCCUUGCCUAUAGGGCUUGUUAUAUAAGUAAUUCCUUGGUCUUGUGCAUAAUAUUCUGAGACAGGGAUUCUGGGGAGUGGCCUGUGUAUUUUCUAAGCCCCGCCAGCAAUCCUGUUGCUCAGCCACAUUGGGAACCACUGAGAUCAGAGAUCAGAGAGUGGCCAGGGUGGGUGGGUGGGGUGGGUUUUCAAACCCUGUUUAAAAGAGGAUUUUUCUCACAGAAAGAAAAGGGAGGAUGUGUAUCAUCAGUUAUGAGAUGUGACAUUCCCUGUUGUUCUCUCCACCAUGAGGUAGAGGCCAGGUAGACAGUUCAGGAUGUGGCUCUCGCACAAGGAACACCUGUGAAUGCCGCUCUCUGACACCCGCCCACAGACUCAUUUCCCACUCACUUCUUGGAGAAAACUGUGGAAACCAAAUUUCUCUAAUUUACACAUACAGUAGCAUACAUGGUACUGGGGGCUAAUUUUAUUGUGGGGAAGGCCAUAGAACUAGACUGGAAACUACACAUCCAGAAACAGAAUCCACAGCCCACCCUGGAUCAGGUCCCUCCUGGGAACAACUGCCCCUGCUGCUGAGUACAGACGCCACUGCUCACACCUCUGACACCUGGUGCUGGACACUGGACACUGAGGCCAGGGGAGACGUCACUGCUGCACCUGGAAGCUGGACAUCACUACUGUCACUCAGCCAUCUUUACUAAAAUGUGUUCUGCACAGUCCCAGCCUUUCUGUGUGACCUCACUCUGGCUCAGAGGCUGGCAGUGAUAUAGGAGUUAAGAAGAAAUUAUUUAGGCAGAUAGUGAGGGUACAGAAGUCCUCAGUAAGGUUUUCCUUUUAAUGAAAUGCAGCCCGCAAGUCAUUUUCUUUUCUAACAAAGAGCAGCCUGUAAAAUUACUACAUCUAAUAAGAGAGAUAGACUCCAGUACAAUAAUAGUGGGGACUUCAACAUCCAACCCUCAGCAUUAAACAGAUCAUCUACACAGAAAUCAAGAAGAAACAUUGGAUUUAAACGGAACUUUAGAACUCAUAAUGCUAACAGACAUUUACAGAGCAUUCUCUCUAACACUAUAGAAUAUACUAUACUCUUUUCAUAACACAUGGAAUAUUUUCUGGGAGAUAGCCUAUGUUAAGCCACAAAAAAUCUCAACAAAUUUUCAAAAGUUGAAACCAUAUCAAAUAUCUUCUCCAGUCACAAUGGAAUAAAACUGCAAUUAUACUCCAAGGGAAACUUUGGCAGCUAGACAAAUACGUGGAAAUUAAACAACAUGCUCCUGAAUAAC
Non-coding RNA from Macaca mulatta (Rhesus monkey), 2732 nucleotides. The record is from RefSeq and is a predicted model, not a curated record. Lineage: Eukaryota; Metazoa; Chordata; Mammalia; Primates; Cercopithecidae.